This 476-nucleotide ribosomal RNA is filed under the name uncultured bacterium. RNAcentral's name for it is "partial 16S ribosomal RNA". It matches the Rfam family "Bacterial small subunit ribosomal RNA", at positions 28 to 523 of the family's 1533-position model. The record is from RNAcentral.
GACGAACGCUGGCGGCGUGCUUAACACAUGCAAGUCGAACGGUAAGGCCUUCGGGUACACGAGUGGCGAACGGGUGAGUAACACGUGGGUGAUCUGCCCUGCACUUCGGGAUAAGCCUGGGAAACUGGGGCUAAUACCGGAUAUGACUUCUGGCUUCAUGGGUGGGAGUGGAAAGCUUUUGCGGUGUGGGAUGGGCCCGCGGCCUAUCAGCUUGUUGGUGGGGUAAAGGCCUACCAAGGCGACGACGGGUAGCCGGCCUGAGAGGGUGUCCGGCCACACUGGGACUGAGAUACGGCCCAGACUCCUACGGGAGGCAGCAGUGGGGAAUAUUGCACAAUGGGCGCAAGCCUGAUGCAGCGACGCCGCGUGGGGGAUGACGGCCUUCGGGUUGUAAACCUCUUUCAGUAGGGACGAAGCGCAAGUGACGGUACCUACAGAAGAAGCACCGGCCAACUACGUGCCAGCAGCCGCAGUAA